Molecule: ribosomal RNA, 497 nt
Filed under: uncultured bacterium
Lineage: Bacteria
Description: bacterial SSU rRNA
Rfam family: Bacterial small subunit ribosomal RNA
Source: RNAcentral
CUACGUGCCAGCAGCCGCGGUAAUACGGAGGGUGCGAGCGUUAAUCGGAAUAACUGGGCGUAAAGGGCACGCAGGCGGUGACUUAAGUGAGGUGUGAAAGCCCCGGGCUUAACCUGGGAAUUGCAUUUCAUACUGGGUCGCUAGAGUACUUUAGGGAGGGGUAGAAUUCCACGUGUAGCGGUGAAAUGCGUAGAGAUGUGGAGGAAUACCGAAGGCGAAGGCAGCCCCUUGGAAUGUACUGACGCUCAUGUGCGAAAGCGUGGGGAGCAAACAGGAUUAGAUACCCUGGUAGUCCACGCUGUAAACGAUGUCGAUUUGGGGGUUGAACUUUAGGUUUGGCGCCCGUAGCUAACGUGAUAAAUCGACCGCCUGGGGAGUACGGCCGCAAGGUUAAAACUCAAAUGAAUUGACGGGGGCCCGCACAAGCGGUGGAGCAUGUGGUUUAAUUCGAUGCAACGCGAAGAACCUUACCUACUCUUGACAUCCAGAGAACAUUC